CUGGUUGAUCCUGCCAGGAGGGCAAGUCUGGUAUCUGGUUGAUCCUGCCAGUAGUCAUAUGCUUGUCUCAAAGACUAAGCCAUGCAUGUCUAAGUAUAAAUGAUAUACAGUAAAACUGCGAAUGGCUCAUUAAAACAGUUAUAGUUUAUUUGGUAAUCGAAUUUACAUGGAUAACCGUGGUAAUUCUAGAGCUAAUACAUGCUGUAAAGCCCGACUUCUCGGAAGGGCCGUAUUUAUUAGAUAACAGACCAAUAUUCUUCGUGUCUAUUGUGGUGAAUCAUAGUAACUAAUCGGAUCGCAUGGGCUUGCCCGCGACAAACCAUUCAAGUUUCUGCCCCAUCAGCUUUCGAUGGUAGUGUAUUGGACUACCAUGGCUUUUACGGGUAACGGAGGAUUAGGGUUCGAUUCCGGAGAGGGAGCCUGAGAAACGGCUACCACAUCUAAGGAAGGCAGCAGGCGCGUAAAUUACCCAAUUCUGAUUCAGAGAGGUAGUGACAAGAAAUAACGGGUCGGGAUUAUGUCCCGGGACUGCAAUGAGAUGAAUUUAUACCCCUUUUCGAGUAACAAUUGGAGGGCAAGUCUGGU
RNAcentral lists this ribosomal RNA (585 nucleotides) under uncultured eukaryote. RNAcentral's name for it is "bacterial SSU rRNA". It matches the Rfam family "Eukaryotic small subunit ribosomal RNA", at positions 1 to 565 of the family's 1831-position model. The record is from RNAcentral.